UGAGCAAUCUGCCCUUCACAUCGGAAUAACCAUUGGAAACGAUGGCUAAUACCGAAUAUGACUUCGGAUUGCAUGAUCUGAAGUGGAAAGCUCCGGCGGUGAAGGAUGAGCUCGCGGCCUAUCAGCUUGUUGGUGAGGUAAUAGCUCACCAAGGCGAUGACGGGUAGCCGGCCUGAGAGGGUGACCGGCCACACGUGGGACUGAGACACCGGCACGUACCG
This 221-nucleotide ribosomal RNA is filed under the name uncultured bacterium. Its description in RNAcentral is "partial 16S ribosomal RNA". It matches the Rfam family "Bacterial small subunit ribosomal RNA", at positions 118 to 339 of the family's 1533-position model. The record is from RNAcentral.